Molecule: unclassified non-coding RNA, 319 nt
Filed under: uncultured Ascomycota
Lineage: Eukaryota; Fungi; Ascomycota
Description: sequence contains ITS1
Rfam family: 5.8S ribosomal RNA (bases 1-105)
Source: RNAcentral
GAAAUGCGAUAAGUAGUGUGAAUUGCAGAAUUCAGUGAAUCAUCGAAUCUUUGAACGCACAUUGCGCCCCUUGGUAUUCCAUGGGGCAUGCCUGUUCGAGCGUCAUUGACACCCUCAAGCUCUGCUUGGUGUUGGGCCGUUGUCGCUUCCCCGGCACCCCGGCGACACAGCGACACCCCUUAAAGUCAUUGGCGGCCUUUCUGCCCGGCUCCCCGCGCAGUAGUUUCGCGCUCCGGAGGCCCCUGGGCAGGCUGGCACCCAUCAAGCUAACCCCUUUAUGCUUGACCUCGGAUCAGGUAGGGACACCCGCUGAACUUAA